CAGUAGCCGCGGUAAUACAGAGGGUGCAAGCGUUAAUCGGAAUUACUGGGCGUAAAGUGCGCGUAGGUGGUUUGUUAAGUUGGAUGUGAAAUCCCCGGGCUCAACCUGGGAACUGCAUCCAAAACUGGCAAGCUAGAGUAUGGUAGAGGGUGGUGGAAUUUCCUGUGUAGCGGUGAAAUGCGUAGAUAUAGGAAGGAACACCAGUGGCGAAGGCGACCACCUGGACUGAUACUGACACUGAGGUGCGAAAGCGUGGGGAGCAAACAGGAUUAGAUACCCGCGAAGUCCCUGUCUCUUAUAC
Molecule: ribosomal RNA, 301 nt
Filed under: uncultured bacterium
Lineage: Bacteria
Description: partial 16S ribosomal RNA
Rfam family: Bacterial small subunit ribosomal RNA
Source: RNAcentral